UAAUGUGCCCCUUAGUUCGGGAUAGCCACUGGAAACGGUGAUUAAUACCGGAUACUCCUUCUUGUUAUAAGGCAAGUCGGGAAAGUUUUUCGCUAAGGGAUCAGUCUAUGUUCCAUCAGCUUGUUGGUGAGGUAAUGGCUCACCAAGGCUAUGACGGAUAUCUGGUUUGAGAGGAUGAUCAGACACACUGGAACUGAGACACGGUCCAGACUCCUACGGGAGGCAGCAGUGAGGAAUAUUGCACAAUGGAGGAAACUCUGAUGCAGCAACGCCGCGUGGAGGAUGACGCAUUUCGGUGUGUAAACUCCUUUUAUUAGGGAAGAUAAUGACGGUACCUAAUGAAUAAGCACCGGCUAACUCCGUGCCAGCAGCCGCGGUAAUACGGAGGGUGCAAGCGUUACUCGGAAUCACUGGGCGUAAAGGGUGCGUAGCCUGGCUUUUAAGUCAGAUGUGAAAUCCAAUGGCUCAACCAUUGAACUGCAUUUGAAACUGAAAGCCUAGAGUUCAGAAGGGGCAGAUGGAAUUAGUGGUGUAGGGGUAAAAUCCGUAGAUAUCACUAGGAAUAUCAAAAGCGAAGGCGAUCUGCUGGGAUGAUACUGA
This 600-nucleotide ribosomal RNA is filed under the name uncultured bacterium. RNAcentral describes it as "bacterial SSU rRNA". It matches the Rfam family "Bacterial small subunit ribosomal RNA", at positions 122 to 743 of the family's 1533-position model. The record is from RNAcentral.